RNAcentral lists this ribosomal RNA (263 nucleotides) under uncultured bacterium. RNAcentral describes it as "partial 16S ribosomal RNA". It matches the Rfam family "Bacterial small subunit ribosomal RNA", at positions 793 to 1055 of the family's 1533-position model. The record is from RNAcentral.
GUCCACGCCGUAAACGAUGUCGACUAGCCGUUGGGCUCCUUGAGAGCUUAGUGGCGCAGCUAACGCAUUAAGUCGACCGCCUGGGGAGUACGGCCGCAAGGUUAAAACUCAAAUGAAUUGACGGGGGCCCGCACAAGCGGUGGAGCAUGUGGUUUAAUUCGAAGCAACGCGAAGAACCUUACCUGGCCUUGACAUGCUGAGAACUUUCCAGAGAUGGAUUGGUGCCUUCGGGAACUCAGACACAGGUGCUGCAUGGCUGUCGU